CCAACCCAUGUGAACGUUACCAAACUGUUGCCUCGGCGGGAUCUCUGCCCCGGGCGCGUCGCAGCCCCGGACCAAGGCGCCCGCCGGAGGACCAACCAAAACUCUUAUUGUAUACCCCCUCGCGGGUUUUUUACUAUCUGAGCCAUCUCGGCGCCCCUCGUGGGCGUUUCGAAAAUGAAUCAAAACUUUCAACAACGGAUCUCUUGGUUCUGGCAUCGAUGAAGAACGCAGCGAAAUGCGAUAAGUAAUGUGAAUUGCAGAAUUCAGUGAAUCAUCGAAUCUUUGAACGCACAUUGCGCCCGCCAGUAUUCUGGCGGGCAUGCCUGUCCGAGCGUCAUUUCAACCCUCGAACCCCUCCGGGGGGUCGGCGUUGGGGAUCGGCCCUUUACGGGGCCGGCCCCGAAAUACAGUGGCGGUCUCGCCGCAGCCUCUCCUGCGCAGUAGUUUGCACACUCGCAUCGGGAGCGCGGCGCGUCCACAGCCGUUAAACACCCCAAACUUCUGAAAUGUUGACCUCGGAUCAGGUAGGAAUACCCGCUGAACUUAAGCAUAUCAAUAAGCGGAGGGAAAAGAA
Molecule: ribosomal RNA, 574 nt
Filed under: Trichoderma virens
Lineage: Eukaryota; Fungi; Ascomycota; Sordariomycetes; Hypocreales; Hypocreaceae
Description: eukaryotic LSU rRNA
Rfam family: 5.8S ribosomal RNA (bases 184-337)
Source: RNAcentral